Molecule: long non-coding RNA, 811 nt
Filed under: Gallus gallus (chicken)
Lineage: Eukaryota; Metazoa; Chordata; Aves; Galliformes; Phasianidae
Source: RNAcentral
CUUUUGGCAAGAGACCCUUUAGAGCCCCAGAGUGCGCUGUGCAGAGUCUCUAAGGAGAGGACUCCUGAGGCCGAAUUUAUUUGUAUCCCACAGGAGGCUUUUUCUUGGUUGGCAACGUGCUUAAAAAAGAAAGAAAUGCAAAUGGGCAUUUCCACGUGACUGUAUUCUGCUCAGUGCAGUGUCUGCCUGUGUUGCAGACUGAGCUCCGUGGCAUUGCAAAGAAUGCACCAAAGGUUCCCGUAUUUCUAGCGGUUGUCAGGGCGGUGGCUCAUGACAUCGUAAGGCCGUGGCGAUGUGACGGUAAGAAUGUCCCAUGUCAAGUACAAGAUGGCUGUGUGGGACGAGGGGAAGCCAUGGCCUGACAGCUGCCCUUCUGGUCAGCAGUGGAAUUCUGCGGGGUCCAUUAGAAGGCCAUUUCUCUGUAAUGCUUUCUCUGUUGGUUCCAGUCAAGAUGUGGCCGUUGUAUGAAGUAAGUUUGUGGUUGCUGUGAAGCUGGGAGGAAUGUUGACUGCCUUGGGGGUUGAGAGGCCUUGCAGCAAGAUGUGGAGAAAUGUGAGGGUGGUCCCCAUCUGCACGAAGAAGAGCAAGCGCUGCGUUCUGCACCUGGGAUGCGGCAGCCCUGGCUGUACGUACAGCGUGGGGGGGGCGAGGGGCUGGAGAUCAGCCCUGCCAAAAGGGAGGGAUCUGGGCGUUGUGGUUGCUGACAACUUGAAUCUGAGCUGGCAGUGUGCCCUGGGCACAGGGUUUGAGUUUGGGUGGUCCUUUGGGGAGCCAGGGGUUGGACUUGAUGGUCCCUGUGUCCUUUAAGAAG